AGGUACUAGGGCUACUGGCAUG
This 22-nucleotide microRNA is filed under the name Echinococcus granulosus. RNAcentral's name for it is "egr-miR-10290-5p". The record is from miRBase by way of RNAcentral. Lineage: Eukaryota; Metazoa; Platyhelminthes; Cestoda; Cyclophyllidea; Taeniidae.